GGGAGGAAGGGGAACCAGCUGGCCAGAAAAUUGCAAAGGUCGCUGAUGCAAUCUUGCAACAGCUUGCUCAGCCUUCCCUGUUAGAGCCCAGAGCCAGAGGGGAAAGGGUGCCAUUCUUAGGGGUCUGAGGUCAUUGGCCAGAGUCAGAAGCCAGCGUCAAUCCCUUGGUCUGCUACAGCCCUUCAGUUCUAGUCGAAGGUGAAAGUUUGGAAUUUAAAGUUCAUGCUUUAGUUGAUAGGUAAGUGAGCAAGGUAACCACAGGCCAAAUGUAGAUUAUUCUUGGAGGAGCCUGGCUUGGCUUUUUGUUCUUUUAACCUUGUCAAGCCAGAAAGUUCUGUAAGGAAGGUCUGAGCCAAGUUUAACUUCAGUCUUGGCAUUGUUCUUAAGCCUUCCUGAUAAAUUUGGAGCACUCCUAGUAGCUGGCAGCAGUGACCAUGGAACUUCCCCAAGGACCACGAGGGUUCCAGACACAGUGGCUCCUGGGAAAGAAUAUGAUGUAUACCUAGACAAGAGAGCACCCAAUUGGUUUCCCCCUCGGAAGUGUCCACAGAGGCCAGAAGGAGUCAGCCCCCUGGAACUUGAGUCACAGAUGAGCUGCCAAGUGAUACUGGGAACCCAACCUGGGUUCUCUGUAAGAGCGAAUCCAAGCAGCAAGAUGGAGGAAAAAUCAAUUCAAAGCCUGAGGAGGACUGAUGAGGAAAAUGAUCCGAUGGGAGAACCUGGUUGAGACCAGUCCACCUUCACUGUGGUGCUAUCCCUGGGCAUGUGGUCCUGGGCUAUAGGAGAAGGCCGGCUGAGCAAGCUGUGAAGAGCAAGCCAGUAAGCAGCACUGUUACUGGAUUUUCUUUUCCAGUCAGGUUCCACCACCCUUCUCAGCCCCAAAGAAACACGCAGACGCUAUAUUAAUUAUAA
RNAcentral lists this long non-coding RNA (912 nucleotides) under Cricetulus griseus (Chinese hamster). Its description in RNAcentral is "lncRNA (ENSCGRG00015043250.1)". The record is from RNAcentral. Lineage: Eukaryota; Metazoa; Chordata; Mammalia; Rodentia; Cricetidae.